UACGUAGGCAGCGAGCGUUGUUCGGAGUUACUGGGCGUAAAGAAUGCGUAGGCGGUUUUCUAAGUUUGGUGUGAAAUCUCCCGGCUCAACUGGGAGGGUGCGCCGAAGACUGGAAGGCUUGAGUAUGGGAGAGGUAAGCGGAAUUCCUGGUGUAGCGGUGAAAUGCGUAGAUAUCAGGAGGAACACCUGCGGUGUAGACGGCUUACUGGACCAUAACUGACGCUGAGGCACGAAAGCGUGGGUAGCAAACAGG
This 253-nucleotide ribosomal RNA is filed under the name uncultured bacterium. RNAcentral describes it as "partial 16S ribosomal RNA". It matches the Rfam family "Bacterial small subunit ribosomal RNA", at positions 524 to 776 of the family's 1533-position model. The record is from RNAcentral.